GACGAACGCUGGCGGCGUGCCUAACACAUGCAAGUCGAACGCUUCUUUCGUCCCGAGUGCUUCCCCUCUAUUGGAAAGAGGGGUGCCGGCCGGUUGAGUAACACUUGGGUAACCUACCCAUCAGUGAGGGAUAAUACUUGGAAACAGGCGCUAAUACCUCACAACAGUUUAUGCCGGAUGUCAUAUGAGUGGAUGGCGCUUUCGGGUGCUGCCGAUGGAUGGACCCGCGGUUCAUUAGCUAGUUGGAGAGGCAACGGUGCACCAAGGCCACGAGGCAUACCGGACCCGAGAGGGUGGUCGGCCACACUGGGACUGAGACACGGCCCCGACUCCUCCGGGAGGAAGCAGUAGGGAAUCUUAGGCAAUGGAGGAAAGUCUAACCGAGCAAAGCCGCGUGAGUGAAGAAGGUUCUCGGAUCGUAAAGCUCUGUUGUUAGAGAAGAAGAAGGGCGUUAGUAACUGAGCGUACACUGACGGUAUCUAAAGAGAAAGCCACGGCUAACUACGUG
Molecule: ribosomal RNA, 508 nt
Filed under: uncultured bacterium
Lineage: Bacteria
Description: partial 16S ribosomal RNA
Rfam family: Bacterial small subunit ribosomal RNA
Source: RNAcentral